AAGAAAUUAGCUCAACAGGUAGAGCGACCGUUUUAUCUACGGAAGGUUGGGUGUUCGAGUCUCCCAUUAUUUA
Non-coding RNA from Pestalotiopsis sp. 9143b, 73 nucleotides. Lineage: Eukaryota; Fungi; Ascomycota; Sordariomycetes; Amphisphaeriales; Sporocadaceae. The record is from the annotation of a GenBank genome assembly.